GCGACCCCAGGAUGGGCGAGGCCACCCGCUGAGUUUAAGCAUAUCAAUAAGCGGAGGAGAAGAAACUUACG
This 71-nucleotide ribosomal RNA is filed under the name Scaphosepalum microdactylum. Its description in RNAcentral is "partial 26S large subunit ribosomal RNA". It matches the Rfam family "Eukaryotic large subunit ribosomal RNA", at positions 1 to 70 of the family's 3401-position model. The record is from RNAcentral. Lineage: Eukaryota; Viridiplantae; Streptophyta; Magnoliopsida; Asparagales; Orchidaceae.